This 253-nucleotide ribosomal RNA is filed under the name uncultured bacterium. RNAcentral's name for it is "partial 16S ribosomal RNA". It matches the Rfam family "Bacterial small subunit ribosomal RNA", at positions 524 to 776 of the family's 1533-position model. The record is from RNAcentral.
UACGUAGGGUGCAAGCGUUGUCCGGAAUUAUUGGGCGUAAAGAGCUCGUAGGCGGCUCGUCGCGUCGGCUGUGAAAACCUGGGGCUCAACCCCGGGCCUGCAGCCGAUACGGGCGAGCUAGAAUUCGGUAGGGGAGACUGGAAUUCCUGGUGUAGCGGUGAAAUGCGCAGAUAUCAGGAGGAACACCGGUGGCGAAGGCGGGUCUCUGGACAGGUGACUGACGUGAGACGCGAAAGCGUGGGUAGCAAACAGG